This 435-nucleotide ribosomal RNA is filed under the name Triticum aestivum (bread wheat). Its description in RNAcentral is "partial small subunit ribosomal RNA". The record is from RNAcentral. Lineage: Eukaryota; Viridiplantae; Streptophyta; Magnoliopsida; Poales; Poaceae.
AUGGAGCAGCUCAAGAUGGGCUCUCUCCAUGCUUCGGAGGUGGCUCUGGUGUCCUCCCCACCCCCCGUGGAGCCUUGUCAGGCACCAACCAGCCUGCCUCUUGGCGUCGUGAAGCGUGGAGUUUUAGAUGUUGCUGCCCUUCCUUCGCUUGUGGGUGACGUGACCAUUGAGCCAGAUGCGCUGGCGCCUACUCCUGUUCCAGAGAUUUCCUUUGCGAAGAAGCUUUGUGACUUACUUGCCAGUGUGGAGGUUGCUACACCUGGUUUGGGCAGGUCGAUUGCUUUCCUCUUGACGGGGACGACAAUAAGGAGCAAAUGCGUGAAGGUGGGCAAAGGCAAGAAGAAUGGCGCCGUAGAGAAGACGAGGAACGAUACAGAGGCGACAACUAAGGUCGCGGAAGGAUCACGUGCCCCAAAGCAGAACUCAUGCCGGUAG